Molecule: non-coding RNA, 217 nt
Filed under: Ruminococcaceae bacterium CPB6
Lineage: Bacteria; Bacillati; Bacillota; Clostridia; Eubacteriales; Oscillospiraceae
Also listed under: 1 other name
Description: glmS glucosamine-6-phosphate activated ribozyme aptamer
Rfam family: glmS glucosamine-6-phosphate activated ribozyme aptamer
About the family: This entry contains a glucosamine-6-phosphate activated ribozyme that is found in the mRNA for GlmS. GlmS is an enzyme that uses fructose-6-phosphate and glutamine to generate glucosamine-6-phosphate. The ribozyme catalyses self cleavage of the glmS mRNA that is thought to regulate GlmS activity.
Source: Rfam by way of RNAcentral
AGCUUAAAAAAAGCGCCAGACGCACAGGUGUGGGCAGGCCGCGGAGGCUUUGCCCGGUGACAGCACCCCAAGCGUGACGAGGAGAAGUGUGAUCGAAGGUUUCGGCGGAUGCACUUCCGGCUGCAUGAAGCGGGCAGUCGUCAGACGAUGUACAAAGUGUGAUGCGGUGUCGGCACCCCGUGGAGAAUCACUCAGAAAAGCAUCGUUAUUUCCGUGA